This 72-nucleotide transfer RNA is filed under the name Akkermansiaceae bacterium. RNAcentral describes it as "tRNA-Arg". It matches the Rfam family "tRNA". Rfam says of the family: Transfer RNA (tRNA) molecules are approximately 80 nucleotides in length. Their secondary structure includes four short double-helical elements and three loops (D, anti-codon, and T loops). Further hydrogen bonds mediate the characteristic L-shaped molecular structure. tRNAs have two regions of fundamental functional importance: the anti-codon, which is responsible for specific mRNA codon recognition, and the 3' end, to which the tRNAs corresponding amino acid is attached (by aminoacyl-tRNA synthetases). tRNAs cope with the degeneracy of the genetic code in two manners: having more than one tRNA (with a specific anti-codon) for a particular amino acid; and 'wobble' base-pairing, i.e. permitting non-standard base-pairing at the 3rd anti-codon position. The record is from RNAcentral. Lineage: Bacteria; Pseudomonadati; Verrucomicrobiota; Verrucomicrobiia; Verrucomicrobiales; Akkermansiaceae.
GCCUCCGUAGUUCAAUGGAUAGAACGAUGGUUUCCUAAACUGUAAAUCCGUGUUCGAUUCACGGCGGGGGCA